CCCGCACAAGCGUGGAGCAUGUGGUUUAAUUCGACGCAACGCGAAGAACCUUACCAGGGCUUGACAUCCCCUGACCGCGUAUGAAAGUACGUUUUCACCUCGGGUGACAGGGAGACAGGUGGUGCAUGGUUGUCGUCAGCUCGUGUCGUGAGAUGUUGGGUUAAGUCCCGCAACGAGCGCAACCCCUACGUUUAGUUGCUAACGCGUGAAGGCGAGCACUCUAGACGAACUGCCGUUGACAAAACGGAGGAAGGUGGGAUGACGUCAAAUCGUCAUGCCCCUUAUGUUCUGGGCUACACACGUGCUACAAUGGCCGGUACAGACGGAGGCGAAGCCGCGAGGCGGAGCAAAUCCGAAAAAGCCGGUCUCAGUUCGGAUUGCAGGCUGCAAUUCGCCUGCAUGAAGUCGGAAUCGCUAGUAAUCGCAGGUCAGCAUACUGCGGUGAAUACGUUCCCGGGCCUU
RNAcentral lists this ribosomal RNA (462 nucleotides) under uncultured Pelotomaculum sp. Its description in RNAcentral is "bacterial SSU rRNA". It matches the Rfam family "Bacterial small subunit ribosomal RNA", at positions 920 to 1382 of the family's 1533-position model. Lineage: Bacteria; Bacillati; Bacillota; Clostridia; Eubacteriales; Desulfotomaculaceae. The record is from RNAcentral.